RNAcentral lists this transfer RNA (73 nucleotides) under Pseudomonadota bacterium. RNAcentral describes it as "tRNA-Lys". It matches the Rfam family "tRNA". From Rfam's summary of the family: Transfer RNA (tRNA) molecules are approximately 80 nucleotides in length. The record is from RNAcentral. RNAcentral also lists the same sequence under 2 other names. Lineage: Bacteria; Pseudomonadati; Pseudomonadota.
GGGGGCAUAGCUCAAUUGGUAGAGCAUCGGACUCUUAAUCCGCUGGUUGUAGGUUCGAUUCCUACUGCCCUCA